CUAGGCAAACGGGCCUCGAUCCCGUAAAUAUUUAAUUAACAACCAAACACCCAAUCCAGCGGGCUUUUGCCUACCCCCUCCCCCUUGAAUAAAAAGGGGGAGA
RNAcentral lists this transfer RNA (103 nucleotides) under Sphaerodactylus shrevei. Its description in RNAcentral is "tRNA-Asn". The record is from RNAcentral. Lineage: Eukaryota; Metazoa; Chordata; Lepidosauria; Squamata; Sphaerodactylidae.